CCAGACUCCUACGGGAGGCAGCAGUGGGGAAUAUUGCACAAUGGGGGGAACCCUGAUGCAGCGACGCCGCGUGGGUGAAGGAGUAUUUCGGUAUGUAAAGCCCUAUCAGCAGGGAAGAACAAUGACGGUACCUGACUAAGAAGCACCGGCUAAAUACGUGCCAGCAGCCGCGGUAAUACGUAUGGUGCAAGCGUUAUCCGGAUUUACUGGGUGUAAAGGGAGCGCAGACGGCGAUGCAAGCCAGGAGUGAAAGCCCGGGGCCCAACCCCGGGACUGCUCUUGGAACUGCGUGGCUGGAGUGCAGGAGGGGCAGGCGGAAUUCCUGGUGUAGCGGUGAAAUGCGUAGAUAUCAGGAGGAACACCGGUGGCGAAGGCGGCCUGCUGGACUGCAACUGACGUUGAGGCCCGAAAGCGUGGGGAGCAAACAGGAUUAGAUACCCCCGUA
This 445-nucleotide ribosomal RNA is filed under the name uncultured bacterium. RNAcentral's name for it is "bacterial SSU rRNA". It matches the Rfam family "Bacterial small subunit ribosomal RNA", at positions 331 to 792 of the family's 1533-position model. The record is from RNAcentral.